Molecule: ribosomal RNA, 253 nt
Filed under: uncultured bacterium
Lineage: Bacteria
Description: partial 16S ribosomal RNA
Rfam family: Bacterial small subunit ribosomal RNA
Source: RNAcentral
UACGUAGGGACCUAGCGUUGUCCGGAAUCAUUGGGCGUAAAGCGCGCGUAGGCGGCCCGGUAAGUCCGUUGUAAAAGUCAAAGGCUCAACCUUUGAAAGCCGAUGGAUACUGCCGGGCUAGAGUACGGAAGAGGCGAGUAGAAUUCCUGGUGUAGCGGUGGAAUGCGCAGAUAUCAGGAGGAAUACCCAUAGCGAAGGCAGCUCGCUGGGACGUUACUGACGCUGAGACGCGAAAGCGUGGGGAGCAAACAGG